This 494-nucleotide ribosomal RNA is filed under the name uncultured bacterium. RNAcentral's name for it is "partial 16S ribosomal RNA". It matches the Rfam family "Bacterial small subunit ribosomal RNA", at positions 28 to 506 of the family's 1533-position model. The record is from RNAcentral.
GACGAACGCUGGCGGCGUGCCUAAUACAUGCAAGUAGAACGCUGAAGGAGGAGCUUGCUUCUCUGGAUGAGUUGCGAACGGGUGAGUAACGCGUAGGUAACCUGCCUGGUAGCGGGGGAUAACUAUUGGAAACGAUAGCUAAUACCGCAUAAUAGUAGAUGUUGCAUGACAUUUGCUUAAAAGGUGCAAUUGCAUCACUACCAGAUGGACCUGCGUUGUAUUAGCUAGUUGGUGGGGUAACGGCUCACCAAGGCGACGAUACAUAGCCGACCUGAGAGGGUGAUCGGCCACACUGGGACUGAGACACGGCCCAGACUCCUACGGGAGGCAGCAGUAGGGAAUCUUCGGCAAUGGACGGAAGUCUGACCGAGCAACGCCGCGUGAGUGAAGAAGGUUUUCGGAUCGUAAAGCUCUGUUGUAAGAGAAGAACGAGUGUGAGAGUGGAAAGUUCACACUGUGACGGGAUCUUACCAGAAAGGGACGGCGAACUACGU